RNAcentral lists this long non-coding RNA (214 nucleotides) under Homo sapiens (human). RNAcentral describes it as "non-protein coding lnc-CLDND1-1:1". Lineage: Eukaryota; Metazoa; Chordata; Mammalia; Primates; Hominidae. The record is from RNAcentral.
AUGCCUCCGAAAAUUGAGGAAAUCAAGGACUUUCUGUUCACAGCCCAAUGAAAGGAUGCUGAAUCUGUCAAGAUCAAGAAAAAUAAGGACAAUGUGAAGUUUAAAGUUCGAUGCAGCAGAUAUCUUUAUACCCUGGUCAUCAGUGAAAAAGAGAAGGCAGAAAAACUGAAGCCAGUCCCUGCCUCCUAGUUUGGUAGUGAAGGAGUUGAAAUGA